Molecule: transfer RNA, 74 nt
Filed under: Panax omeiensis (nom. ined.)
Lineage: Eukaryota; Viridiplantae; Streptophyta; Magnoliopsida; Apiales; Araliaceae
Description: Panax omeiensis partial tRNA-Asp
Rfam family: tRNA
About the family: Transfer RNA (tRNA) molecules are approximately 80 nucleotides in length. Their secondary structure includes four short double-helical elements and three loops (D, anti-codon, and T loops).
Source: RNAcentral
GGGAUUGUAGUUCAAUUGGUCAGAGCACCCGCCUGUCAAGGCGGAAGCUGCGGGUUCGAGCCCCGUCAGUCCCG